RNAcentral lists this non-coding RNA (57 nucleotides) under unclassified sequences. RNAcentral describes it as "GP20-b RNA". It matches the Rfam family "GP20-b RNA". The record is from RNAcentral.
AGACCGGAAUGUCGUAAAACUAUCAGCGCAUGGGAGGCAACCCCGUAUAAAAGCGUA